Molecule: ribosomal RNA, 301 nt
Filed under: uncultured bacterium
Lineage: Bacteria
Description: partial 16S ribosomal RNA
Rfam family: Bacterial small subunit ribosomal RNA
Source: RNAcentral
CAGUAGCCACGGUAAAACGGAGGGGGCUAGCGUUGUUCGGAAUUACUGGGCGUAAAGCGUACGUAGGCGGCUUUGUAAGUUAGAGGUGAAAGCCUGGUGCUCAACACCAGAACUGCCUUUAAGACUGCAUCGCUUGAACGUCGGAGAGGUGAGUGGAAUUCCGAGUGUAGAGGUGAAAUUCGUAGAUAUUCGGAAGAACACCAGUGGCGAAGGCGGCUCACUGGACGACUGUUGACGCUGAGGUACGAAAGCGUGGGGAGCAAACAGGAUUAGAUACCCCAGUAGUCCCUGUCUCUUAUAC